AUAUUAUUUAAUGUAUAUUAUAUCAGGUAUGGUUUUAAUACAAAACAUUUAUAUAAUCAGUAAAGGUGAUUAAAGUUUAUUUUAUAUCUUUAUUAAGUACUGAAAAGGAAAGACAUAAAUUGUAAGAAAGAAAAAAUUAAGUUUUGUACCUUUUGCAUCAUGGUUUAGCUAGAUUUAAAUUUUUUACAUAAAAUUUCUCGAAACUUAGUGAGCUAUCUUAUGUUUUAAUUGUAUUAGCAAAAUAAAAGUGAUUGUGGCAAAAAUCUUUUUAAAACUUAAGAUAGAAAUGAAAUUUUUUUCGUACUAAGUGAUAGCUAGUUCUUUUCUUAAAGUACAUAAGUACCGUGGGUUAGUUAUAUGUAGCAGUUAUAUAUGUUUCAUACAUAAUACCCUAACUCAAUUAAAUUUUAGAGGAUAAGCUCUAGAAUGUAAAUAAAAAUUCCAUAAAUGUAUAUAUAAAUUUAGGCUUGAAAAUAGCUAUAAAUUGAGAUUUUGUUAUAAUUUCAUUAAUACUAUUAACAUAUAAUAAGUUUGUUUUAUUACAGGAAAAGAAAAUCUAAGUACUAGAAACACAGAUUAAUCCUAUGCUAAAAUGAGUAUUCUAACAUUUGUAUAUUUUUAAUAAACAAGAUAACAAAAUUUUAAUUUAGACUUUUAAACUAAAUCACUAAAAGGAACUCGGCAAAACUAUAUUCUGCCUGUUUAUCAAAAACAUGGCUCCCUGUAAUAAAUAAAAUAGGGAGUCGGACCUGCCCAGUGAAUUUUUCAACGGCCGCGGUACUCUGACCGUGCAAAGGUAGCAUAAUCAUUUGCCUUAUAACUGAAGGCUAGUAUGAAUGGUUUGACAAGAAUGUGACUGUCUCUUUGUGAUUAAUAAGAAUUUUAUUUUUAGGUGAAGAAGCCUGAAUAUAAUUGAAAGACAAGAAGACCCUAUCGAGCUUAAAAGAAGUUAAUAAGUGUAAUUUUUAAUAAAAUAUUAAUACCAGUUAUUGAAAAUUUUAGUUGGGGCGACUAAGGAACAAAAGAAGCUUCCUUUACAAACUUAGUUAAAACAAGCAAGUAAUGAUCCAGAAAUUUUGAUUAAAGAAAUUAGUUACCGUAGGGAUAACAGCAUUAUCCUCUUUGAGAGUUCAUAUCGAAAAGGGGGCUUGUGACCUCGAUGUUGGACCAGAAUAUCCUAAAGAUGCAGCCGUCUUUAAGGGUUGGUCUGUUCGACCAUUAAAAUUCUACGUGAUCUGAGUUCAGACCGGCGUGAGCCAGGUCAGUUUCUAUCUUCAAUUCCCUAAAUAAACUUAGUACGAAAGGACCAGAUUAUUACAAGUUAAUUGUUAAAAUAUAGAUGAAGUAUAAUGAAUUUAUAAAUAUUUAAAUUUAAUUAAUUUGAUAAA
RNAcentral lists this ribosomal RNA (1388 nucleotides) under Bolinus brandaris (purple dye murex). RNAcentral's name for it is "LSU rRNA". The stretch from base 649 to 1388 matches the Rfam family "Archaeal large subunit ribosomal RNA", at positions 1423 to 2861 of the family's 2987-position model. The record is from RNAcentral. Lineage: Eukaryota; Metazoa; Mollusca; Gastropoda; Neogastropoda; Muricidae.